This 2730-nucleotide long non-coding RNA is filed under the name Homo sapiens (human). RNAcentral's name for it is "HSALNT0184494". Lineage: Eukaryota; Metazoa; Chordata; Mammalia; Primates; Hominidae. The record is from RNAcentral.
CAGUAUGCCUGUUAUUUGAGUGGACUCUUCUUGGACCAUUUGCUUGGAUGAACAGUGGGCAGAAGUGGAAAGGAAGGGUGCUCUGGACAAAGGUGACAAAGCCCAGGAACAAAAGUCGGAAGGUGCACAGUGUGCCCAGAGGGCCAGGAAUUGGGUGGAGUGACUGGCUCCUUGGUCGCUUGCAAGUAGCAUGAGAAUAGAGAGGGCUGGGAGAUGCAUUAAAAAGCACCAGGACAAAUUUAGGUUUGCACAGAAAAGGACGUUUCGUCAGGGUACGUGAGGAAAGUUGAGUAGAGAAUUUAGGAAUGGAGCAGACGACUCUGGUUGGGAUGAUGAGAGCGGAGAGACAGAUCCAUGUUCUUUCCAGGUGCCCCAGCAGCUCCAGGUCUCGCUGAACCUGUUACUAUGGCAGCGUCUAUGCUUCACUUUUGAGGAUUGCUUCUGCUUUGAAAUAGCCGUGUGGAAGAAAAACUACAAAGUUUUGAGGGGGAAAAAACCCACCUAACUUUAGCUGCCGUUGUGUCUUCAUCUGUAAAAAUCUUCUUCAUGUCUCAUGGAUUUCAACAUGCAGUUUAUCUUGGUUUGUUCCAUAAAACAUCAGAUGCAACUUUAAUGGCCUAACCCCAAAAAGAUAACUUGGCAGCCAUCAAGCAUUCAGCAGCGUUCCAAAUGCCCUCUUGCUGGAGCCAGCCUUCUACGGGGCCAUGUGGAUGUCAGGCACACACAAUUUGAGUCACGCUGACAUAGCUGGGAUGCCUGGAUUGCACUGGAAUCUGGGGGGUACCAAUCACAGGCCAGAGAGAAGCCAUUGGCUGGAAGGAACAAUGCCAGCGUGUUCACCGUCUCUGCAGAAGGAGGGGGUGUUGAUGGUGAGGGGAAUGACAGUUGCAGCCAAAGGAGCAAAAUGACCCCAAAGCAGGGUGGGCACAUGUCAUUGAUGCUGGGCAGAAGCACUCCAGGGGCUCAGGUCAUGACCACACCCCUUUUCUCCUGCCCCACAACCAGAAAAACUAAGAAGGUACAAGAUUUUCCCUAAAACUUAAUGUACAGAAUGCCCUGCUGUCUUCAGGUUUUUGGGAAAUCCAGGGUUGACAACAACAGCCCAAAUAUAUGAAGCACUUACCUCUACCAGGCACUGUCUGUAUCUUACAAAUAAUUCGUUUAAUUCUCACAACUCCUUAAUGAGGUAAGUUUUACAAUUUCCAUUUUAUGAUGAGGGAAACUGAGGCUUAGAAAGAUUAAGAAACUUGCCCAAAUCCUGCAGCCAGAAAUGGGCAGAAUCAAGACAUGAACCACAGUCUCUCAAAAGCCAAAGCCUGGGCACUCACUACUACCCUCAACAGCCCGGUGGCUGGUUCAUGCCAUCUCUGCCACCCUCACACAGCCACCUCUUGGAUGGUAGAACCCUGUGUGUUGAACAAGUAGAGUAACAUUCUAAAAGGAUUCUUUUUCCUCCCCUGUUUUCCUGGGGGCUGAGUAGACAUGUUUAAACAUGCUGUUCAUCUGACACUUGUUUACUUCAGUGGCUAUGAUGUGCAAGACCCCAGACCAGGAACAGUAAGAGGGCAUGAGGAUAACCCAGCGUGGAGACCACUCUGGAGGAGGCUGCAGACUGGAGGCGCUGUUGUAGCCAGCUGCAUUUUGGAGGCUGGGUUGCCUGUCUUAGAUCUCUAAUGAGUUUGGUCAUUAUUUUUUCAGCCAGGGUUUUCUUCCUCCCUCCCUGUCUUCCUUCCCUUUCUCCUUCCUUCCUUCAUUCCUUCCUUCCUUUCUUCCUUCCUUCUUUCCUCCCUCCCUCCCUCCCUCCCUCCCUUCCUUUCUCUCUUUCCUUCUAUCUUUUAUUUUCUCUCUUUCUCUGUCUCUCUCUUUCUCUCUUUCUUCCUCCCUCCCUCCCUUUCUCUCCUUCUUUCUUUCUCCCUCCCUCCUCUCCUCCCUCUCUUGGUCUCUCUCUCUCUCCCUUCCUUCCUUUGUUCUUUCAAGAUUUUUCUUUCUUUCUUUCUUUCUUUUAAAGGUGUAAGCCUUUUUCUGGUUCACUACAUGCCAAGGACUGCGCUAAAUCAUUCACAUAAAACCACCAGCGUGCAUCACCUCAUUUGGUCCUCCCACAGUCUAACGGCCUCCCAAAGUGCUGGGAUUACAGGUGUGAUCCACCAUGCCCGGCCAUGUUCCGAGUCCUUAAGGUAACAAGGAGAAAUGUGAGAAGCCCAUUUGGGAAUGAAGGAUGCAGGAAAGCCCUGUAACUGAGGCAGCCAAUCAGAAGCUUUCAUUAACGGCCCUCUUUCUUUUGUCCCCCACUUCCAGAAGAAUCUACCAUAAAACCAACAGACUCCUCCUGAUCUCUACCUGUGCUGUCUGCCUCUCUAGUUCCGGACACUGAGAGCUGGUGCCCUGUGGCCACCUCAAGCUGGAACCCUGCAAGAUCACCAAGAAGACUGCAUGCCUCGCUCUAGCCUUCCUAAGGGAAAGUAGACUCCUGUUUUUGAGAGAAAUUACCUGAUUUCAAGAGAAACAUAAAGGACUUUUUUUCCCUUAACAUUCCACUCGUAAAAAUGAAGUUUGGAAGAACUUCUGCAAACUCUGAGUGUUUUGGUCAAUUGACCUUUUACUGUACUAAGCAAAUCUGAAGCCACAAAUACAUUGGGGAGGAAGGUAUACCCUUCACAAAAGAUCCGUCACUUAGCCAGAUACUCUGUUGCCAUGCUUCUUUAAAUAAAGCACAUUUCUGGUAUAUUU